RNAcentral lists this ribosomal RNA (457 nucleotides) under Salmonella enterica subsp. enterica serovar Enteritidis. Its description in RNAcentral is "partial 23S ribosomal RNA". It matches the Rfam family "Bacterial large subunit ribosomal RNA", at positions 161 to 589 of the family's 2925-position model. Lineage: Bacteria; Pseudomonadati; Pseudomonadota; Gammaproteobacteria; Enterobacterales; Enterobacteriaceae. The record is from RNAcentral.
AAUCCAUAGGUUAAUGAGGCGAACCGGGGGAACUGAAACAUCUAAGUACCCCGAGGAAAAGAAAUCAACCGAGAUUCCCCCAGUAGCGGCGAGCGAACGGGGAGGAGCCCAGAGCCUGAAUCAGCAUGUGUGUUAGUGGAAGCGUCUGGAAAGGCGCGCGAUACAGGGUGACAGCCCCGUACACAAAAGCGCAUGUGCUGUGAGCUCGAUGAGUAGGGCGGGACACGUGGUAUCCUGUCUGAAUAUGGGGGGACCAUCCUCCAAGGCUAAAUACUCCUGACUGACCGAUAGUGAACCAGUACCGUGAGGGAAAGGCGAAAAGAACCCCGGCGAGGGGAGUGAAAAAGAACCUGAAACCGUGUACGUACAAGCAGUGGGAGCCCCACCACCAAAGCAUUUGCUGUACCGCGUUGACGGAGCGAAGCGACGUCAAACCGAUAAAACAGCAGUGUAAAGU